This 253-nucleotide ribosomal RNA is filed under the name uncultured bacterium. RNAcentral describes it as "partial 16S ribosomal RNA". It matches the Rfam family "Bacterial small subunit ribosomal RNA", at positions 524 to 776 of the family's 1533-position model. The record is from RNAcentral.
UACGGGGGGGGCAAGCGUUAAUCGGAAUUACUGGGCGUAAAGCGUGCGCAGGCGGUUUUGUAAGUCUGUCGUGAAAGCCCCGGGCUCAACCUGGGAAUUGCGAUGGAGACUGCAAGGCUUGAAUCUGGCAGAGGGGGGUAGAAUUCCACGUGUAGCAGUGAAAUGCGUAGAGAUGUGGAGGAACACCGAUGGCGAAGGCAGCCCCCUGGGUCAAGAUUGACGCUCAUGCACGAAAGCGUGGGGAGCAAACAGG